UGAGGAAUAUUGGUCAAUGGGCGGGAGCCUGAACCAGCCAAGUCGCGUGAGGGAUGACGGCCCUAUGGGUUGUAAACCUCUUUUGCCGGGGAGCAAAGUGCCGCACGUGUGCGGUUUGGAGAGUACCCGGAGAAAAAGCAUCGGCUAACUCCGUGCCAGCAGCCACGGUAAUACGGAGGAUGCGAGCGUUAUCCGGAUUUAUUGGGUUUAAAGGGUGCGUAGGCGGACGCUUAAGUCAGCGGUAAAAUUGCGGGGCUCAACCUCGUCGAGCCGUUGAAACUGGGUGCCUUGAGUGGGCGAGAAGUACGCGGAAUGCGUGGUGUAGCGGUGAAAUGCAUAGAUAUCACGCAGAACUCCGAUUGCGAAGGCAGCGUACCGGCGCCCAACUGACGCUGAAGCACGAAGGCGUGGGUAUCGAACAGG
Molecule: ribosomal RNA, 423 nt
Filed under: uncultured bacterium
Lineage: Bacteria
Description: bacterial SSU rRNA
Rfam family: Bacterial small subunit ribosomal RNA
Source: RNAcentral